RNAcentral lists this ribosomal RNA (860 nucleotides) under uncultured bacterium. RNAcentral describes it as "bacterial SSU rRNA". It matches the Rfam family "Bacterial small subunit ribosomal RNA", at positions 57 to 918 of the family's 1533-position model. The record is from RNAcentral.
GCAAGUCGAACGGGAUUUGAGUAGCAAUACUUAAUGAGAGUGGCGCACGGGUGCGUAACGCGUAUGCAACCUACCUUUAACAGGGGGAUAGCUCCGAGAAAUCGGGAUUAAUACCCCAUAGUAUUAUUGAUUGGCAUCGAUUAAUAAUUAAAGCUCCGGCGGUUAAAGAUGGGCAUGCGUGCCAUUAGCUAGUUGGUGAGGUAAGGGCUCACCAAGGCGAUGAUGGCUAGGGGUUCUGAGAGGAUUAUCCCCCACACUGGUACUGAGACACGGACCAGACUCCUACGGGAGGCAGCAGUAAGGAAUAUUGGGCAAUGGACGCAAGUCUGACCCAGCCAUGCCGCGUGCAGGAAGACGGCCCUAUGGGUUGUAAACUGCUUUUAUCAGGGAAUAAACCCCCGGAUGUAUCCGGGGCUGAAUGUACCUGAAGAAUAAGCAUCGGCUAACUCCGUGCCAGCAGCCGCGGUAAUACGGAGGAUGCAAGCGUUAUCCGGAUUCAUUGGGUUUAAAGGGUGCGCAGGCGGAUUAUUAAGUCAGUGGUGAAAUCCUACAGCUCAACUGUAGAACUGCCAUUGAUACUGAUAAUCUUGAGUAUAUUUGAAGUGGGCGGAAUGUAGCAUGUAGCGGUGAAAUGCAUAGAUAUGCUACAGAACACCAAUUGCGAAGGCAGCUCACUAAACUAUAACUGACGCUCAUGCACGAAAGCGUGGGGAUCAAACAGGAUUAGAUACCCUGGUAGUCCACGCUGUAAACGAUGAUUACUCGUUGUUGGCGAUACACAGUCAGCGACCAAGCGAAUGUGAUAAGUAAUCCACCUGGGGAGUACGAUCGCAAGGUUGCAACUCAAGGAAUUGACGGAA